GCUAUACAUGCAAGUCGAGCGAACAGACAAGGAGCUUGCUCCUUUGACGUUAGCGGCGGACGGGUGAGUAACACGUGGGUAACCUACCUAUAAGACUGGGAUAACUUCGGGAAACCGGAGCUAAUACCGGAUAAUAUUUCGAACCGCAUGGUUCGAUAGUGAAAGAUGGUUUUGCUAUCACUUAUAGAUGGACCCGCGCCGUAUUAGCUAGUUGGUAAGGUAACGGCUUACCAAGGCGACGAUACGUAGCCGACCUGAGAGGGUGAUCGGCCACACUGGAACUGAGACACGGUCCAGACUCCUACGGGAGGCAGCAGUAGGGAAUCUUCCGCAAUGGGCGAAAGCCUGACGGAGCAACGCCGCGUGAGUGAUGAAGGUCUUCGGAUCGUAAAACUCUGUUAUUAGGGAAGAACAUACGUGUAAGUAACUAUGCACGUCUUGACGGUACCUAAUCAGAAAGCCACGGCUAACUACGUGCCAGCAGCGGCCGGGUAAUAAA
This 499-nucleotide ribosomal RNA is filed under the name Staphylococcus haemolyticus. RNAcentral's name for it is "bacterial SSU rRNA". It matches the Rfam family "Bacterial small subunit ribosomal RNA", at positions 48 to 527 of the family's 1533-position model. The record is from RNAcentral. Lineage: Bacteria; Bacillati; Bacillota; Bacilli; Caryophanales; Staphylococcaceae.